RNAcentral lists this ribosomal RNA (440 nucleotides) under uncultured bacterium. RNAcentral's name for it is "bacterial SSU rRNA". It matches the Rfam family "Bacterial small subunit ribosomal RNA", at positions 958 to 1398 of the family's 1533-position model. The record is from RNAcentral.
AACGCGAAGAACCUUACCUACCCUUGACAUGCCAAGAACCCUGCAGAGAUGUGGGGGUGCCUGAAAGGGAGCUUGGACACAGGUGCUGCAUGGCUGUCGUCAGCUCGUGUCGUGAGAUGUUGGGUUAAGUCCCGCAACGAGCGCAACCCUUGCCAUUAGUUGCCACAUUAAGUUGGGCACUCUAAUGGGACUGCCGGUGACAAACCGGAGGAAGGUGGGGAUGACGUCAAGUCCUCAUGGCCCUUAUGGGUAGGGCUUCACACGUCAUACAAUGGUCGGUACAGAGGGUUGCCAACCCGCGAGGGGGAGCCAAUCUCAGAAAGCCGAUCGUAGUCCGGAUUGUAGUCUGCAACUCGACUGCAUGAAGUCGGAAUCGCUAGUAAUCGCGGAUCAGCAUGUCGCGGUGAAUACGUUCCCGGGCCUUGUACACACCGCUAGUC